GACGAACGCUGGCGGCGUGCCUAAUACAUGCAAGUCAAGCGGAUUGAUGGGAGCUUGCUCCCUGAUAUCAGCGGCGGACGGGUGAGUAACACGUGGGCAACCUGCCUAUAAGACUGGGAUAACUUCGGGAAACCGGAGCUAAUACCGGAUAAUCCCUUUCCUCUCAUGAGGAAAGGCUGAAAGAUGGUUUACGCUAUCACUUAUAGAUGGGCCCGCGGCGCAUUAGCUAGUUGGUGAGGUAACGGCUCACCAAGGCAACGAUGCGUAGCCGACCUGAGAGGGUGAUCGGCCACACUGGGACUGAGACACGGCCCAGACUCCUACGGGAGGCAGCAGUAGGGAAUCUUCCGCAAUGGACGAAAGUCUGACGGAGCAACGCCGCGUGAGUGAUGAAGGUUUUCGGAUCGUAAAACUCUGUUGUUAGGAAAGAACAAGUACGAGAGUAACUGCUCGUACCUCGACGGUACCUAACCAGAAAGCCACGGCUAACUACGUGCCAGCCGCCGCAGUAA
RNAcentral lists this ribosomal RNA (512 nucleotides) under uncultured bacterium. RNAcentral's name for it is "partial 16S ribosomal RNA". It matches the Rfam family "Bacterial small subunit ribosomal RNA", at positions 28 to 523 of the family's 1533-position model. The record is from RNAcentral.